UACGUAGGUCCCGAGCGUUGUCCGGAUUUAUUGGGCGUAAAGCGAGCGCAGGUGGUUUAUUAAGUCUGGUGUAAAAGGCAGUGGCUCAACCAUUGUAUGCAUUGGAAACUGGUAGACUUGAGUGCAGGAGAGGAGAGUGGAAUUCCAUGUGUAGCGGUGAAAUGCGUAGACAUAUGGAGGAACACCGGUGGCGAAAGCGGCUCUCUGGCCUGUAACUGACACUGAGGCUCGAAAGCGUGGGGAGCAAACAGG
RNAcentral lists this ribosomal RNA (252 nucleotides) under uncultured bacterium. RNAcentral's name for it is "partial 16S ribosomal RNA". It matches the Rfam family "Bacterial small subunit ribosomal RNA", at positions 524 to 776 of the family's 1533-position model. The record is from RNAcentral.